Molecule: non-coding RNA, 107 nt
Organism: Gossypium raimondii (Peruvian cotton)
Lineage: Eukaryota; Viridiplantae; Streptophyta; Magnoliopsida; Malvales; Malvaceae
Source: Rfam
AAACCAUGCAUAGGACAUUUUCUAAGUAUUUCCUUAAAUCUUUCCCAGGCUUUGUAAAGCGUUUCAUCCUUUGAUUGCCGAAAAGAUGUGACGUCAUUUCUCAGCUU